This 497-nucleotide ribosomal RNA is filed under the name uncultured bacterium. RNAcentral's name for it is "partial 16S ribosomal RNA". It matches the Rfam family "Bacterial small subunit ribosomal RNA", at positions 28 to 507 of the family's 1533-position model. The record is from RNAcentral.
GAUGAACGCUGGCGGCGUGCCUAAUACAUGCAAGUCGAGCGAACAGACGAGGAGCUUGCUCCUCUGACGUUAGCGGCGGACGGGUGAGUAACACGUGGAUAACCUACCUAUAAGACUGGGAUAACUUCGGGAAACCGGAGCUAAUACCGGAUAAUAUAUUGAACCGCAUGGUUCAAUAGUGAAAGACGGUUUUGCUGUCACUUAUAGAUGGAUCCGCGCCGCAUUAGCUAGUUGGUAAGGUAACGGCUUACCAAGGCAACGAUGCGUAGCCGACCUGAGAGGGUGAUCGGCCACACUGGAACUGAGACACGGUCCAGACUCCUAAGGGAGGCAGCAGUAGGGAAUCUUCCGCAAUGGGCGAAGGCCUGACGGAGCAACGCCGCGUGAGUGAUGAAGGUCUUCGGAUCGUAAAACUCUGUUAUUAGGGAAGAGCAAAUGUGUAAGUAACUAUGCACGUCUUGACGGUACCUAAUCAGAAAGCCACGGCUAACUACGUG